RNAcentral lists this ribosomal RNA (253 nucleotides) under uncultured bacterium. RNAcentral describes it as "partial 16S ribosomal RNA". It matches the Rfam family "Bacterial small subunit ribosomal RNA", at positions 524 to 776 of the family's 1533-position model. The record is from RNAcentral.
UACAGAGGUCUCAAGCGUUUUUCGGAUUCAUUGGGCGUAAAGGGUGCGUAGGUGGUUGGGUAAGUCAAAUGUGAAAUCCCGGAGCUCAACUCCGGAACUGCAUUCGAUACUGCCCGGCUCGAGGAUUGGAGAGGAGACUGGAAUUCACGGUGUAGCAGUGAAAUGCGUAGAGAUCGUGAGGAACACCCGUGGCGAAGGCGGGUCUCUGGACAAUUCCUGACACUGAGGCACGAAGGCCAGGGGAGCAAACGGG